AAGACCUUGCACUUUUGGAGCGGCCGAUGUCUGAUUAGCUAGUUGGUGGGGUAAUGGCCUACCAAAGCUUCGAUCAGUAGCUGGUCUGAGAGGACGGCCAGCCACACUGGGACUGAGACACGGCCCAGACCCCUACGGGAGGCAGCAGUGGGGAAUUUUGGACAAUGGGCGCAAGCCUGAUCCAGCCAUGCCGCGUGAGUGAAGAAGGCCUUCGGGUUGUAAAGCUCUUUCAGCCGGGAAGAAAAGGUUGCGACUAAUAAUCGCAAUUCAUGACGGUACCGAAAGAAGAAGCACCGGCUAACUACGUGCCGGCAGCCGCGGUAAUACGUAGGGUGCGAGCGUUAAUCGGAAUUACUGGGCGUAAAGGGUGCGCAGGCGGUUUUGUAAGUCAGAUGUGAAAUCCCCGGGCUUAACCUGGGAACU
This 423-nucleotide ribosomal RNA is filed under the name uncultured bacterium. RNAcentral describes it as "bacterial SSU rRNA". It matches the Rfam family "Bacterial small subunit ribosomal RNA", at positions 207 to 622 of the family's 1533-position model. The record is from RNAcentral.